This 233-nucleotide long non-coding RNA is filed under the name Capsicum annuum. RNAcentral's name for it is "long non-coding RNA (CANN_LNC006155)". Lineage: Eukaryota; Viridiplantae; Streptophyta; Magnoliopsida; Solanales; Solanaceae. The record is from RNAcentral.
AUAUUUUAGUCUUUCUUUUAAUUUUCAAACAAAUCCUCACACAAAAAUGCAAACACGAAAAAAUUUCUCCUUUUUAUUUCACUGAAAGUUUUUGAAUGAAAGUUUUUAACGAUCUAAGUUGAUUUUUUCGUUAUGUAUAAUUAAUUUCAUUAUUUUUUCUCAAUUAAACUUUACAUUGGCUAGUUCAUUUUUUAAAAAGUAUAUACAAUAUUUGAUUAAUAUAAAAAUAUUUG